UUUCACAUGCAAGUCGGACGGCAGCACAGAGAAGCUUGCUUCUUGGGUGGCGAGUGGCGAACGGGUGAGUAAUAUAUCGGAACGUACCGAGUAAUGGGGGAUAACUAAUCGAAAGAUUAGCUAAUACCGCAUAUUCUCUGAGGAGGAAAGCAGGGGACCUUCGGGCCUUGCGUUAUUCGAGCGGCCGAUAUCUGAUUAGCUAGUUGGUGGGGUAAAGGCCUACCAAGGCGACGAUCAGUAGCGGGUCUGAGAGGAUGAUCCGCCACACUGGGACUGAGACACGGCCCAGACUCCUACGGGAGGCAGCAGUGGGGAAUUUUGGACAAUGGGCGCAAGCCUGAUCCAGCCAUGCCGCGUGUCUGAAGAAGGCCUUCGGGUUGUAAAGGACUUUUGUCAGGGAAGAAAAGGCUGUUGCUAAUACCGACAGCUGAUGACGGUACCUGAAGAAUAAGCACCGGCUAACUACGUGCCAGCAGCCGCGGUAAUACGUAGGGUGCGAGCGUUAAUCGGAAUUACUGGGCGUAAAGCGAGCGCAGACGGUUACUUAAGCAGGAUGUGAAAUCCCCGGGCUCAACCUGGGAACUGCGUUCUGAACUGGGUGACUAGAGUGUGUCAGAGGGAGGUAGAAUUCCACGUGUAGCAGUGAAAUGCGUAGAGAUGUGGAGGAAUAC
RNAcentral lists this ribosomal RNA (671 nucleotides) under uncultured Neisseria sp. RNAcentral describes it as "bacterial SSU rRNA". It matches the Rfam family "Bacterial small subunit ribosomal RNA", at positions 49 to 709 of the family's 1533-position model. Lineage: Bacteria; Pseudomonadati; Pseudomonadota; Betaproteobacteria; Neisseriales; Neisseriaceae. The record is from RNAcentral.